This 296-nucleotide ribosomal RNA is filed under the name uncultured bacterium. RNAcentral's name for it is "partial 16S ribosomal RNA". It matches the Rfam family "Bacterial small subunit ribosomal RNA", at positions 28 to 334 of the family's 1533-position model. The record is from RNAcentral.
GACGAACGCUGGCGGCAUGCCUAACACAUGCAAGUCGAACGAGACCUUCGGGUCUAGUGGCGGACGGGUGAGUAACACGUGAGCAACCUGCCCCUCAGAGAGGAAUAACGUUUGGAAACGAACGCUAAUACCUCAUAACAUUACUGGAAGGCAUCUUCCGGUAAUUAAAGAUUUUAUCGCUGAGGGAUGGGCUCGCGUCCGAUUAGGUAGUUGGUGAGAUAACAGCCCACCAAGCCGACGAUCGGUAGCCGGACUGAGAGGUUGAACGGCCACAUUGGGACUGAGACACGGCCCAG